This 304-nucleotide unclassified non-coding RNA is filed under the name Hevea brasiliensis (rubber tree). The record is from RNAcentral. Lineage: Eukaryota; Viridiplantae; Streptophyta; Magnoliopsida; Malpighiales; Euphorbiaceae.
AAUCUUUUUCUCCCUAAAGUGGUAAACAUUAGGGAAUAGAUGAAUACAUAUUACUAGUCUCUGUUAUUAAACAACAUCACAUGGAAAAAGUGAAUGAGAGAGGGAGAGUGGGAGGCAUAUAUGCUUCGUAGUGCAUGCAACAGCAUUUCCAAGGAAUGUCAAUGACUAAUUUUUUAUUUUUCCAGAACGGGUGCAUGUAAUUGCUUCACACAUAUUUUCUGUAGUGAUUCUUAAUUUCAUAAUAAUUAGUGUUUUUAUCUUUUUCUUUUUUUCUUUCCAGCUUGGUUUAGUGAUUGAUCUAACA